UUGCAAUGAUGAGAUUCCUACUUCUGGUCCGUGUUUCUGACUACUGAUUGUAUUGGAAGUUCUGAGCCC
Pimephales promelas (fathead minnow) is the source of this 69-nucleotide small nucleolar RNA. RefSeq annotates it as small nucleolar RNA SNORD18. The record is from RefSeq and is a predicted model, not a curated record. Lineage: Eukaryota; Metazoa; Chordata; Actinopteri; Cypriniformes; Leuciscidae.